Molecule: long non-coding RNA, 1081 nt
Filed under: Anolis carolinensis (green anole)
Lineage: Eukaryota; Metazoa; Chordata; Lepidosauria; Squamata; Anolidae
Description: lncRNA (ENSACAG00000042697.1)
Source: RNAcentral
AUGCCAUCACUCUUUUAUAUAUAUAGAUGGAUAAAAGCAAUUAUUCCCCUCUCUCUAAUUAGGACUUUAUUUUUCUUUUCUUUUUGUUGUAUCAACCUAGAGCCGUGGAUGAUGGGUUGUGUUGUCAAAUUUCGAGGUUGGGGGGCCUGUAGUUUUGUUGUUUUGUGGGUCACCGUGAUGCCAUCACUCUUUUAUAUAUAUAGAUUAAUUAUAUCUUUGGAUUUGUGCUAUCACCAGAAACUAGAAUGGCUCCUUUAUAUCAAUGUAGCAGACAUAUGAUGGAUAUUAUCAGCCGUUUCUGUAUGCUUUGCUUUUUUUUCCUUGGGAAGAGAUAAAGGGAAUGGUGACCAUUACAGAAGAAAUAACAUUUCUGCCCUGCUGACUUGAACAUUGUGGGAGAGAAAAAGGGCUAAAUAUCUUAUGAAUGCUUUUUUUUUUAAAAAAGAGGAAAGUAUGGUGUAAUCUGCAGGAAGUAUAAAUCAAUAUGGCAUUUUUGUCUCUAACAGCCUUUCCUAACCUGUAUGUAACCUGUGGAGCCUGGAAUUGGUUACAGUUCCGGAGGCGGAAAAGCCCUGAUAAUCUACUGUUGUAGCUGGAGAUUUUGCAAAAUAACUCUUUGAUUUCUUGUUGUUAAGAAAGAAUUAAACCUUAUUAUUAAGAAAUAGCUACUUUUAAAUAGUCUGGGGGGAAAAUUUCACCUGAAUGCCAGAAGUCUCUGGCUUGUGGUAUAAAACACACCAGGCCAGAAUAUGCGCAUAUUAUUCGCAUCAUUGUCCCUGCACUUGCAAAAAACACAAUGAUUGUGGUGGCACAAUGGGUUAAACUCUUGUGCUGCUGAACUGCUGAUCUGAAGGUUGGCAGUUCGAAAACGUGAGACAGUGUGAGCUCUCGCUGUUAGUUCUAACUCCUGCCUGUUUAGCGGUUCGAAAACAUGCAAAUGUGAGUACAUAAAUAGGUACCGCUACAGCACAAAAAGGCAAAAAGAAACUCCAAGCAGUCUUGCCAGCCACACAACCAGGAGGUGUCUUCAGACAACACAGGCUCCUCAACUUGUAAACACAGAAGAGUACCUCUCCCAGAG